This is a long non-coding RNA of Cucumis melo (muskmelon), 863 nucleotides long. RefSeq lists it as uncharacterized. The transcript has 2 exons. The record is from RefSeq and is a predicted model, not a curated record. NCBI's taxonomy places the organism in Eukaryota, Viridiplantae, Streptophyta, Magnoliopsida, Cucurbitales, Cucurbitaceae.
UAAAAUUUAUUUGAUUUAUUUUGAAAAGGAAGAGAAAAAGGAAAAGAAAAAUAUUAAUAACAUUGUUAUUAUUAUUAUUAUUUUAAAUAAGCCUCAAAAUACGUGAGAGAGUACUAUUCAUCAUCUUUCCCAAAUUUUCUUCCUCUCCUUGAAAACCCUAGAGUCGCCACCACUGUUCACUCUGACUGUUUCUGUUACUCCAUCGACAAGCAUCGUCGUCCACUUCAUCGUCUGCCGUGUCUUUCCAUCAAGCCCAAUCGCGAACCCAAGUCUCCUUUCACAUCGUGCGACCCGAGCCAAAAUGAUUCGAGGUUGAGUUUGGUCAUGACAUUCCUCCACCGCUGCACGCCACCGGUCGCGUCCCUUGUCAUUCGUCGUGUUGUCUGUCUCCAUCUUUAUGUUUCUGUCUUUGCUCACUCGUCAUAAAGAAGGUUCCGGCGAACAAAGCCACAUCCGAGCACUCCUCUCAAAUGCCACUAAGCCAAGUCGCUGUCCUUGAAACCGAAUCGGUUCCUCUUUACUCUAAGUCGUACACGUAGACUCAAGUCAAACCCAAGCCGAGUCCUCCUUUAGCCAAGCUACAGAGGUAGAGGUAGAGGAAAGCUGGUAAAUGACAAGAAGUGACCGCGACUUGCCAUAGGAGAAUAUUUAUGCUUCUGCUUUAUGUUCACAGUAUUUUGAAUUUUAGUAUUUUUAUUUGAAUUUAUCGAACUCAUGAAUUAUUCUAUGUUAUUUUUCUUUAAAAGUUAGAUAGGGUCCAAACUAGGAUUAAAUUUUCUAGUACUUAUUUUUAUUUUUCAAAUUAUGAUUUAUGAAGUGAGCAUUUGAAAUUAUUUAUUAAAAACUUUGAUUUUCUCUUUUUC